RNAcentral lists this ribosomal RNA (397 nucleotides) under uncultured bacterium. RNAcentral's name for it is "partial 16S ribosomal RNA". It matches the Rfam family "Bacterial small subunit ribosomal RNA", at positions 523 to 918 of the family's 1533-position model. The record is from RNAcentral.
AUACGUAGGUGACAAGCGUUAUCCGGAUUUACUGGGCGUAAAGGGCGUGUCGGCGGUCUUGCAAGUCAGAAGUGAAAUUCCUGAGCUCAACUCGGGCGCUGCUUCUGAAACUGCAGGACUUGAGUGCUGGAGGGGAUAGCGGAAUUCCUAGUGGAGCGGUAAAAUGCGCAGAUAUUAGGAAGAACACCGGUGGCGUAGGCGGCUAUCAGGGCAGUAGGAGCCACUGCGGCCCGAAAGCGUGGGGAGCAAACAGGAUUAGAUACCCUGUUAGUCCACGCCGUAAACGAUGAAUACUAGGUGUAGGGAGUAUCGACUCCCUCUGUGCCGCAGUUAACACAAUAAGCAUUCCGCCUGGGGAGUACGGCCGCAAGGUUGAAACUCAAAGGAAUUGACGGGU